GAUGAAGAACGCAGCGAAAUGCGAUAAGUAGUGUGAAUUGCAGAAUUCAGUGAAUCAUCGAAUCUUUGAACGCACAUUGCGCCCCAUGGUAUUCCGUGGGGCAUGCCUGUUCGAGCGUCAUUUACCCCCUCAAGCUCCGCUUGGUGUUGGGCGUCUGUCCCGCUUCGCGCGCGGACUCGCCCCAAAGGUAUUGGCAGCGGUCGUGCCAGCUUCUCGCGCAGCACAUUGCGCUUCUCGAGGCACCGGUGGGCCCGCGUCCAUCAAGCUCACCCCCCCAGUUUGACCUCGGAUCAGGUAGGGAUACCCGCUGAACUUAAGCAUAUCAAUAAGCGGAAGA
RNAcentral lists this unclassified non-coding RNA (337 nucleotides) under soil metagenome. RNAcentral's name for it is "partial contains 5.8S ribosomal RNA, internal transcribed spacer 2, and large subunit ribosomal RNA". The stretch from base 1 to 120 matches the Rfam family "5.8S ribosomal RNA", at positions 35 to 154 of the family's 154-position model. The record is from RNAcentral.